This 238-nucleotide long non-coding RNA is filed under the name Theropithecus gelada (gelada). Its description in RNAcentral is "lncRNA (ENSTGEG00000010631.1)". Lineage: Eukaryota; Metazoa; Chordata; Mammalia; Primates; Cercopithecidae. The record is from RNAcentral.
GAGCAGACUGAGGGAAGAACCAGAAGGCUGCCAAAAUACAAUUGUGUGCCUUUAAAGGAAAUAACAACAAGAAUUAGGAGCGCCCUGGAGGCAAGUUGCUCGGAAUCCAAUUGAAUUUUCCAGUUGUGCAUGAAAAUUAUAUUGUUGCAAAAACAGCUGCAAUAAUUUACCUUCCUGAAUCAACAUACUUGGGUAUCUCCCUUCCAUUCUGAUUCUGGACUUACCCAUAUGACUUACC